RNAcentral lists this ribosomal RNA (253 nucleotides) under uncultured bacterium. RNAcentral describes it as "partial 16S ribosomal RNA". It matches the Rfam family "Bacterial small subunit ribosomal RNA", at positions 524 to 776 of the family's 1533-position model. The record is from RNAcentral.
UACGGAGGAGGCAAGCGUUAUCCGGAAUCAUUGGGCGUAAAGCGCGUGUAGGCGGCCAGGUAGGUCCGUUCUGAAAGCCCGGGGCUCAACCCCGGGAGGCGGAUGGAUACUGCUUGGCUCGAGUCCGGAAGAGGCGAGUGGAAUUCCCGGUGUAGCGGUGAAAUGCGCAGAUAUCGGGAGGAACACCAAUGGCGAAGGCAGCUCGCUGGGACGGUACUGACGCUGAGACGCGAAAGCGUGGGGAGCAAACAGG